CCUACGGGAGGCAGCAGUGGGGAAUAUUGGACAAUGGGGGGAACCCUGAUACAGCGACGCCGCGUGAGUGAAGAAGUAUUUCGGUAUGUAAAGCUCUAUCAGCAGGGAAGAAAGAAAUGACGGUACCUGACUAAUAAGCCCCGGCUAACUACGUGCCAGCAGCCGCGGUAAUACGUAGGGGGCAAGCGUUAUCCGGAUUUACUGGGUGUAAAGGGAGCGUAGACGGCGAUGCAAGUCAGAUGUGAAAUCCACGGGCUCAACCCGUGAACUGCAUUUGAAACUGUUUCCCUUGAGUGUCUGAGAGGUAAUCGGAAUGCCUUGUGUAGCGGUGAAAUGCGUAGAUAUAAGGCAGAACACCAGUGGCGAAGGCGGAUUACUGGACGAUAACUGACGGUGAGGCGCGAAAGCGUGGGGAGCAAACAGGAUUAGAUACCCGAGUAGUC
Molecule: ribosomal RNA, 443 nt
Filed under: uncultured bacterium
Lineage: Bacteria
Description: partial 16S ribosomal RNA
Rfam family: Bacterial small subunit ribosomal RNA
Source: RNAcentral